UGAGCUCAGUCCCGUUUGAAUGCAUUGAAGGGCCAAAUAUUAUGACAAAGGAUGCACAGCAAUAUAUGUUGUAUGGGGAUGUGGGGCCGUCUCAACAUCUGGUUAUGGGAUGUUUUUGUGGCCAAAAAAUUAUCAAAUGUUGCGUAUAUGGACAAAACAAGUGCGUCGUAUGAGGCGGACUUUUACUGGACCAGGUAACACGGGGUCGAUGAAACCGACGAUGUGUGGGCAGCACAUCGAGAGAUCGUGUUUCGAACAAUCAACAAUGCCCGCUAAGGAGAGAGAGUAAAAGCUUUCUCGAAGGCUUUGCAUUUGAACUCCUAUGACUGGUUACGGACUUGAAGGGAACGUCUUCCUGACAUCCAGGAAAAUGUAGAAAUCUACUGGAACCUAACACCAGAGAGAGGGAGGAGAUGAUAUGCAGCAAAAGGCCCAGCCGGAUGGUUGCUGCUCCGUGUGGAACGUGUUCUAUCAGAAAGGAUCAUGCCAGCCCACAUCAAACACCUGAUCAAGAACUUGUGAAUCUUCAGGCAGAAAAGAUGAAAACACCUGUUCCAGUUUCCUGUACAUGGAACCAUGCCAGUCCUCUGUUCCACAUGUCUUCAGUCAGUCCUGGGGCCUGUACUACAAAGCAGGAUUUUCGCUUAGCCGGCUAACUUCAGGGAAAACUCCGGCUUUCCGGGCUUACGAAGCUGGUUCUCUUUUUAGCGGGCUAGAUCUCCAUGGUAACUGAUGCUGAGCGGCUGAGCGGCUAGCCUGCUCCGGAGCAGGUUAGGUUGCAGGAUAAGAGCUCAACUCAGUGAAAGCACCGCCUGCUGACCAAUCAGAGCU
Molecule: long non-coding RNA, 831 nt
Organism: Gymnodraco acuticeps
Lineage: Eukaryota; Metazoa; Chordata; Actinopteri; Perciformes; Bathydraconidae
Exons: 4
Source: RefSeq, a predicted model, not a curated record